Bubalus bubalis (water buffalo) is the source of this 690-nucleotide long non-coding RNA. RefSeq lists it as uncharacterized. NCBI's taxonomy places the organism in Eukaryota, Metazoa, Chordata, Mammalia, Artiodactyla, Bovidae. The transcript is spliced from 3 exons. The record is from RefSeq and is a predicted model, not a curated record.
AUAGUUGCAAGUAGCGCGCGGUUUGGUAUCGCUUGCCUACCUUGUGCGGCUGUUGUGGCUGCAGAGAGAGGCUGAAAGGUGGCCGUGGGCGUGGACCUGCUGAGGGUCUUUUAAGGACCGAUGUGAGCUACCAGUGGUCCUGUGUACCGAGAAGGCAGCAGAUGGCAGGUGCCAGGUUAUCAGGCUGUACACUGAAGCCUCCAGCAAGGAAGAGUUUCAGAUCUGAACUCCAAGAAAGAAGACAUUGAUCCAGCUGAGAGACUUGCAAUCUCUUCGUUGUGCAGAAAAUUGGUAAAUGUUCUCAGGACAAAGCUUCCAACAAGAAUACUUACAUGGGGGGCCUUCUCCUAAGGAAACUUGCUGUGUCACAUAGCUAGCAGCCCUUGCAGGGGAUUAAGACUUGCUUAGCAAUCCAAAGUUACAAAACCGGCCCCAAAGUACAAUUAAAGAUGGCAGGUCAAACACACACAUCAGACUUAGCAAACAAUAAGUCCAGAUGGAGCCAGUCAGAAAGCUCCAGGAAUAUUUCUUCAAAUAAAUGAAACUGAUUGCAUCCCAAUUACUUUUGAAUGUAUUUAGAGGAGAUCAUGCAACAGUGUUUAGGUUUGAAUUAAUGAAAAGUCAAUAGGAAGCUAAGAAAAUUUUAAAAAAUUAAAUAUCAUCUCCAGGGAAAAACAAAAUGUUACCAAA